This 18-nucleotide ribosomal RNA is filed under the name uncultured Thelephoraceae. RNAcentral's name for it is "partial 28S ribosomal RNA". The record is from RNAcentral. Lineage: Eukaryota; Fungi; Basidiomycota; Agaricomycetes; Thelephorales; Thelephoraceae.
CGUUUGAUCUCAAAUCAG